AGGACGAACGCUGGCGGCGUGCUUAACACAUGCAAGUCGAGCGGUGAUCCUCCUUCGGGAGGUGAUCAGCGGCGAACGGGUGAGUAACACGUGGGCAACCUGCCCCUCACGCUGGGAUAACCUCGGGAAACCGGGGCUAAUACCGGAUACGACCUCGAGCGGCAUCUCUUGAGGUGGAAAGCUCCGACGGUGAGGGAUGGGCCCGCGGCCUAUCAGCUUGUUGGUGGGGUAAUGGCCUACCAAGGCGACGACGGGUA
This 257-nucleotide ribosomal RNA is filed under the name uncultured bacterium. RNAcentral's name for it is "partial small subunit ribosomal RNA". It matches the Rfam family "Bacterial small subunit ribosomal RNA", at positions 26 to 285 of the family's 1533-position model. The record is from RNAcentral.